GACGAACGCUGGCGGCGUGCUUAACACAUGCAAGUCGAACGGAAAGGCCCUGCUUUUGUGGGGUGCUCGAGUGGCGAACGGGUGAGUAACACGUGAGUAACCUGCCCUUGACUUUGGGAUAACUUCAGGAAACUGGGGCUAAUACCGGAUAGGAGCUCCUGCUGCAUGGUGGGGGUUGGAAAGUUUCGGCGGUUGGGGAUGGACUCGCGGCUUAUCAGCUUGUUGGUGGGGUAGUGGCUUACCAAGGCUUUGACCGAUAGCCGGCCUGAGAGGGUGACCGGCAACAUGGGGACUGAGAGACGGCCCAGACUCCUACGGGAGGCAGCAGUGGGGAAUAUUGCACAAUGGGCGGAAGCCUGAUGCAGCAACGCCGCGUGCGGGAUGAGGGCCUUCGGGUUGUAAACCGCUUUCGCCUGUGACGAAGCGGGAGUGACGGUAAUGGGUAAAGAAGCAACGGCUAACUACGUG
Molecule: ribosomal RNA, 468 nt
Filed under: uncultured bacterium
Lineage: Bacteria
Description: partial 16S ribosomal RNA
Rfam family: Bacterial small subunit ribosomal RNA
Source: RNAcentral